This 27-nucleotide non-coding RNA is filed under the name Mus musculus (house mouse). The record is from RNAcentral. Lineage: Eukaryota; Metazoa; Chordata; Mammalia; Rodentia; Muridae.
UGCUUUGGGUCGGCAGGAAUGGGACAC